Molecule: small RNA, 1020 nt
Filed under: Pongo abelii (Sumatran orangutan)
Lineage: Eukaryota; Metazoa; Chordata; Mammalia; Primates; Hominidae
Description: retained intron
Source: RNAcentral
GGGUCAGCUGCUACAUGCCGGCCAAUGGUGAGACGGUGACGCUGCCCACAAGCCCCAGCAUCCCCGUAGGCAUCUCGCUGGGGCUGCUGAAGCGGGAGAUGGCGCAGGGUAUGCAGGCUGGGCAGGGCAGGGUGCUCGGGGCAGGCGGCUGGGAGCGGCCCUCACGUUGAUGGCUCCUGUCGCCUCCUCCGCAGGGCUGCUCCCUGAGGCCAAGAAGCCUCGGCUCCUGCACGGCACCCUGAUCAUGAAGGACAGUGUGAGUGCCAGGACGGCCUCUGGAGGGGGGAGGGCUGCUGCUGCGCUCCCUGACCUGUCCCUGCCCCACAGAACUUCCGGCUGGUGUCCUCAGAGCAAGCCCUCAAAGAGCUGGGUCUGGCUGAGCACCAGCUGCGCUUCACCUGCCGCGUGCACCUGCAUGACACGCGCAAGGAGCAGGAGACGGCGUUGCGCGUCUAUAGCCACCUCAAGAGGUGGGCACCCGGCCCCACCCCCCCCACUCCCUUGGGCCCUGGGGGCCAGGCAGGGUCUCACUGAGCCUCCCCACAGCAUCCUGAAGGACCACUGUGUGCAGCACCUCCCAGACGGCUCUGUGACUGUGGAGUCCAUCCUCAUCCAGGCCGCCGCCCCUUCUGAGGACCCAGGCACCAAGGUGCUGCUGGUCUCCUGGACCUACCAGGAUGAGGAGCUGGGGAGCUUCCUCACAUCUCUGUUGAAGAAGGGCCUCCCCCAGGCCCCCAGCUGAGGCCGGCAGCUCACCCAGCCACCACCUCUGCCCUCUCCCAGCUGGACAGACCGGGGCCUGCACUUCAGGACUGUGGGUGCCCUGGGUGAACAGACCCCACAGGUCCCAUCCCUGGGGACAGAGGCCUUGUGUCACGCGCCUGCCCAGGCAGCUGUUUCCAGCUAAAGAAAUAAACUGGCCUCCGGGCUGUCUUGCCUUUAUUCCUGCUUCUGGGCCCCCAAAUGGUUAGGGCAGGUGAUCCCAGACAGCGGUUUCCAGUAAAAACUGAACAAAAGACU